This 804-nucleotide long non-coding RNA is filed under the name Parus major (Great Tit). RNAcentral's name for it is "lncRNA (ENSPMJG00000001843.1)". The record is from RNAcentral. Lineage: Eukaryota; Metazoa; Chordata; Aves; Passeriformes; Paridae.
CUACUUGUCACAUGCCCAUAGGAAGGGGGAGGUGUGGCUAUGCCACAGAUAUCCUAGAUGACCUUCCUAGGGCAGAGUCUGCAAUCAGCCAGGCCACUGUGCUCCCUUUGCUAAAACAGAGUGAAAGGUGACCAGGAGAGCCUGGGCAGACUCCAGAGCUGUACAUGCCAGAGCUGACCUGCCAGAUGUAACUUCCAGAACACAAGGAAGGAUUUCUGCUGCCUUCAUGGAGACAUGAGCUGUGGGCUCUGUGGAUGCUUUGCUGUGACGGAGGGCCGAGGGCUGACCAAGUCGUGGGGAGGAUUUGUAUGUGGGAAGAGAGGAGAUGGCUGUGCAGCGUGCUCCCGAAUCUGCUCUGAGCUUGCUGAUGCUGGAGACCAACAUGAUCCCACAACCCAACAGAGGUUUGCUGUGACUGACUUUAUGGAUACAGAGAAGACACAUUUGCUAAAGGUCACCUGUAUUUCAUGACAGAAUUUACAGCCUCAGCCAGGGAGACAGAUGUGCCUGUUUGUUGGGAGCUCCUCUGAUGGCAGGAGCUGCCUGCAUCCCCAUCCAGGCUCUCACCAAGCAACGAGGCUGUGACCAACAGGAUGAGACCCUUCAGCACAGCCUGGCCGUGCUGUUGGCAAGGAGACUGUAGCUGUGUGCUACAGAGAACGGGUUUUGUUCCUUUCCUUGGGGAUGAAGGCUUCCUAUUUGGUGACCAGAACCCAUAUCAGCAGCUGCCACCAUCUUCAGGCUGCAGUGUCAGUUGUGCAAAUGGAUUUAGUCAAAAUACUGUGGCAAAUAAAGGACAUCUGC